CCCUUAGAUGUUCUGGGCUGCACGCGCGCUACAUUGAUGCACUCAACGAGUUUACGACCUUGCCCGAUAGGGUUGGGUAAUCUUUUUAAAAUGCAUCGUGAUGGGGAUAGAUUAUUGCAAUUAUUAAUCUUCAACGAGGAAUUCCUAGUAAGCGCGAGUCAUCAGCUCGUGCUGAUUACGUCCCUGCCCUUUGUACACACCGCCCGUCGCUCCUACCGAUUGAGUGCUCAGGUGAAUAAUUCGGACUGCAGCAAUGUUUGGAUCCCGAACGUUGCAGCGGAAAGUUUAGUGAACCUUAUCACUUAGAGGAAGGAGAAGUCGUANCA
Molecule: ribosomal RNA, 326 nt
Filed under: uncultured eukaryote
Lineage: Eukaryota
Description: partial 18S ribosomal RNA
Rfam family: Eukaryotic small subunit ribosomal RNA
Source: RNAcentral